GUGGGGAAUAUUGCACAAUGGGGGAAACCCUGAUGCAGCAACGCCGCGUGAGUGAAGAAGUCAUUCGUGAUGUAAAGCUCUAUCAGCAGGGAAGAAAAUGACGGUACCUGAGUAAGAAGCCCCGGCUAACUACGUGCCAGCAGCCGCGGUAAUACGUAGGGGGCAAGCGUUAUCCGGAUUUACUGGGUGUAAAGGGAGCGUAGACGGCCAGACAAGUCUGAAGUGAAAAUCCAGCGCUUAACGUUGGAAGUGCUUUGGAAACUGCCGGGCUGGAGUGCAGGAGGGGCAGGCGGAAUUCCUAGUGUAGCGGUGAAAUGCGUAGAUAUUAGGAGGAACACCAGUGGCGAAGGCGGCCUGCUGGACUGCAACUGACGUUGAGGCUCGAAGGCGUGGGGAGCAAACAGGAUUAGAUACCCUGGUAGUCCACGCGGUAAACGAUGAUUACUAGGUGUCGGGGGGCUAGAGCCCUUCG
RNAcentral lists this ribosomal RNA (472 nucleotides) under uncultured bacterium. Its description in RNAcentral is "bacterial SSU rRNA". It matches the Rfam family "Bacterial small subunit ribosomal RNA", at positions 354 to 842 of the family's 1533-position model. The record is from RNAcentral.